UUGCCCUAGUAACGGCGAGUGAAGCGGCAACAGCUCAAAUUUGAAAUCUGGCCCUUGGGUCCGAAUUGUAAUUUGUAGAGGAUGUUUUUGGUGCGGUAUCUUCCGAGUUCCUUGGAACAGGACGCCUUAGAGGGUGAGAGCCCCGUACGGUUGAAUGCCUAGCCUUUGUAAAACUCCUUCGACGAGUCGAGUAGUUUGGGAAUGCUGCUCUAAAUGGGAGGUAAAUUUCUUCUAAAGCUAAAUACCGGCCAGAGACCGAUAGCGCACAAGUAGAGUGAUCGAAAGAUGAAAAGCACUUUGAAAAGAGGGUUAAAUAGCACGUGAAAUUGUUGAAAGGGAAGGAUUUAUGACCAGACUUUUUCUAGGCGAAUCAUCCGGUGUUCUCACCGGUGCACUUCGUUUAGUUUAGGCCAGCAUCGAUUUUCGAGGCGGGAUAAAAGCUUCAGGAAUGUGGCUCUUUCGGGAGUGUUAUAGCCUGUUGUAUAAUACCGCCUUGGGGAUCGAGGUACGCGCUUCUGCAAGGAUGCUGGCGUAAUGGUUAUCAAUCACCCGUCUUGAAACACGGACCAAGGAGUCGAACAUUUGUGCGAGUGUUUGGGUGUUAAACCCUCACGCGUAAUGAAAGUGAACGGAGGUGAGAGCCCUUUACGGGGUGCAUCAUCGACCGAUCCUGAUGUCUUCGGAUGGAUUUGAGUAAGAGCAUAAAUGUUCGGACCCGAAAGAUGGUGAACUAUGCGUGGAUAGGGUGAAGCCAGAGGAAACUCUGGUGGAGGCUCGCAGCGGUUCUGACGUGCAAAUCGAUCGUCAAAUCUGCGCAUGGGGGCGAAAGACU
Molecule: ribosomal RNA, 832 nt
Filed under: Seimatosporium sp.
Lineage: Eukaryota; Fungi; Ascomycota; Sordariomycetes; Amphisphaeriales; Sporocadaceae
Also listed under: 1 other name
Description: partial large subunit ribosomal RNA
Rfam family: Eukaryotic large subunit ribosomal RNA
Source: RNAcentral